GGUCUUUUAGGAGACAGUGGCGGACGGGUGAGUAACGCGUAAGAAUCUACCUUCAGGGUUGGGGACAACCACUGGAAACGGUGGCUAAUACCGAAUGUGCCGAGAGGUGAAAGGCUUGCUGCCUGAAGAAGAGCUUGCGUCUGAUUAGCUAGUUGGUAGUGUAAGAGACUACCAAGGCGACGAUCAGUAGCUGGUCUGAGAGGAUGAUCAGCCACACUGGGACUGAGACACGGCCCAGACUCCUACGGGAGGCAGCAGUGGGGAAUUUUCCGCAAUGGGCGAGAGCCUGACGGAGCAAUACCGCGUGAGGGAGGAAGGCUCUUGGGUUGUAAACCUCUUUUCUCAGGGAAGAACAGAAUGACGGUACCUGAGGAAUAAGCAUCGGCUAACUCCGUGCCAGCAGCCGCGGUAAUACGGAGGAUGCAAGCGUUAUCCGGAAUGAUUGGGCGUAAAGGGUCCGCAGGUGGCAUUGUAAGUCUGCUGUUAAAGAGUUUGGCUCAACCAAAUAAGAGCAGUGGAAACUACAAAGCUAGAGUGUGGUCGGGGCAGAGGGAAUUCCUGGUGUAGCGGUGAAAUGCGUAGAUAUC
Molecule: ribosomal RNA, 587 nt
Filed under: uncultured cyanobacterium
Lineage: Bacteria; Bacillati; Cyanobacteriota
Description: bacterial SSU rRNA
Rfam family: Bacterial small subunit ribosomal RNA
Source: RNAcentral